Molecule: ribosomal RNA, 982 nt
Filed under: uncultured bacterium
Lineage: Bacteria
Description: bacterial SSU rRNA
Rfam family: Bacterial small subunit ribosomal RNA
Source: RNAcentral
CCUACGGGAGGCAGCAGUCGGGAAUCUUGCGCAAUGGGCGAAAGCCUGACGCAGCAACACCGUGCGAGCGACGAAGGCCUUCGGGUCGUAAAGCUCUGUUGUUGGGGACGAAGGGCGAAGGGUUAAUAGCCCCUAGCUUGACGGUACCCUUCGAGGAAGCCCCGGCUAACUACGUGCCAGCAGCCGCGGUAAUACGUAGGGGGCGAGCGUUGUCCGGAAUUAUUGGGCGUAAAGAGCGUGUUGGCGGUUCGGUAAGUCUGCCGUGAAAACCUGGGGCUCAACCCCGGGCGUGCGGUGGAAACUGCCGGGCUAGAGGAUGGUAGAGGCGAGUGGAAUUCCCGGUGUAGCGGUGAAAUGCGCAGAUAUCGGGAGGAACACCAGUAGCGAAGGCGGCUCGCUGGGCCAUUCCUGACGCUGAGACGCGAAAGCUAGGGGAGCAAACAGGAUUAGAUACCCUGGUAGUCCUAGCCGUAAACGAUGAACACUAGGUGUGGGGGGAGUCGAAUCCCUCUGUGCCGCAGCCAACGCGAUAAGUGUUCCGCCUGGGGAGUACGGCCGCAAGGCUAAAACUCAAAAGAAUUGACGGGGGCCCGCACAAGCAGCGGAGCAUGUUCUUUAAUUCGAUGCAACGCGAAGAACCUUACCUGGGCUUGGCAUGGUGCUGCAAGCGCACGGAAACGUGUGACCUUCGAGGGUGCACCACAGAUGCUGCAUGGCUGUCGUCAGCUCGUGUCGUGAGAUGUUGGGUUAAGUCCCGCAACGAGCGCAACCCCCGUGGUGUGUUGCCAGCAUUAAGUUGGGGACUCACACCAGACUGCCGGUGACAAACCGGAGGAAGGUGGGGAUGACGUCUAGUCAUCCUGGCUCUUACGCGCAGUGCUAGAAACGUGCUACAUGGGUACGUAAGGGUUGCGCACUGCGAGGUGGAGCGUAUCUCCUCAAAGUAGAGCUUGUUCAGCAUCAGGGUCUGCACUCUACUCCG